This 1044-nucleotide ribosomal RNA is filed under the name Mycolicibacterium mageritense. RNAcentral describes it as "bacterial SSU rRNA". It matches the Rfam family "Bacterial small subunit ribosomal RNA", at positions 56 to 1120 of the family's 1533-position model. The record is from RNAcentral. Lineage: Bacteria; Bacillati; Actinomycetota; Actinomycetes; Mycobacteriales; Mycobacteriaceae.
UGCAGUCGACGGAAGGNCCUUCGGGGUGCUCGAGUGGCGAACGGGUGAGUAACACGUGGGUGAUCUGCCCUGCACUUUGGGAUAAGCCUGGGAAACUGGGUCUAAUACCGAAUAGGACUCCGGACUGCAUGGUCUGGGGUGGAAAGCUUUUGCGGUGUGGGAUGGGCCCGCGGCCUAUCAGCUUGUUGGUGGGGUGAUGGCCUACCAAGGCGACGACGGGUAGCCGGCCUGAGAGGGUGACCGGCCACACUGGGACUGAGAUACGGCCCAGACUCCUACGGGAGGCAGCAGUGGGGAAUAUUGCACAAUGGGCGCAAGCCUGAUGCAGCGACGCCGCGUGAGGGAUGACGGCCUUCGGGUUGUAAACCUCUUUCAGCACAGACGAAGCGCAAGUGACGGUAUGUGCAGAAGAAGGACCGGCCAACUACGUGCCAGCAGCCGCGGUAAUACGUAGGGUCCGAGCGUUGUCCGGAAUUACUGGGCGUAAAGAGCUCGUAGGUGGUUUGUCGCGUUGUUCGUGAAAACUCACAGCUUAACUGUGGGCGUGCGGGCGAUACGGGCAGACUGGAGUACUGCAGGGGAGACUGGAAUUCCUGGUGUAGCGGUGGAAUGCGCAGAUAUCAGGAGGAACACCGGUGGCGAAGGCGGGUCUCUGGGCAGUAACUGACGCUGAGGAGCGAAAGCGUGGGGAGCGAACAGGAUUAGAUACCCUGGUAGUCCACGCCGUAAACGGUGGGUACUAGGUGUGGGUUUCCUUCCUUGGGAUCCGUGCCGUANCUAACGCAUUAAGUACCCCGCCUGGGGAGUACGGCCGCAAGGCUAAAACUCAAAGGAAUUGACGGGGGCCCGCACAAGCGGCGGANCAUGUGGAUUAAUUCGAUGCNACGCGAANAACCUUACCUGGGUUUGACAUGCACAGGACGCCAGUAGAGAUAUUGGUUCCCUUGUGNCCUGUGUGCANGUGGUGCAUGGNUGUCGUCAGCUCGUGUCGUGAGAUGUUGGGUUAAGUCCCGCAACGANCGCAACCCNUGUCUCAUGUUGCCA